Long non-coding RNA from Sorghum bicolor (sorghum), 757 nucleotides. RefSeq lists it as uncharacterized. The record is from RefSeq and is a predicted model, not a curated record. NCBI's taxonomy places the organism in Eukaryota, Viridiplantae, Streptophyta, Magnoliopsida, Poales, Poaceae. The transcript has 3 exons.
UAAACAAGGCCUGAGUGCAAGGUGUCACCCAACUUGGCAGCCUGGGCCCGGGCUGCGGCAUGCGGCCCUGCGAGGGGAUCAUCUCGCCGGAGACCGGAGUCAUCUUCGACUCGCCUCCCGCCGGCCGGACACUCGAACCUCAUGUCGUCCGCCGGUCUGCGGAGUUCACGCCUCCCACGGCGCACAGGCGCUCUCUCGGUGCGUCCGACGCGCCGUUCUGUCUCUCUCGCGCCGGCUCACCCGUCGCCUGGAAGUUGCAGCCGUGAGUCAGUGACUGCCUCCGCCAUCAACCACCCCGCUCGAGUUGGCUCCCUCCAAUCCCAGGUGGCGCAUUGUUUGUUCUUCGUUGCAAAGAGUUAUAUCAUCCGAAAGAGGUUGGGUCCUGGAGAUUGUACCAGUCGCGCCAAAAUGUAAUUGUGCAAAGAUGAAGAAAAUGGGAAAAAGCAAAGGAAGGAUGUGUCUUUCUGGGGAAAGCCAUCACUUUGUACAAAAGUGGUGGAUGUCUGGUGUUCAAGAGGUUUAUGCAUCAGGAUACGCUGGAGAAGCAAAGUGUGCUUUGAUGUCACUCGCUGUGUAGUUAUUUUAUUUUGGUGAAAAUAGCAUUUCCUUUCCAACUAUGAUGUGUUAUGCACAUUGGUAAAAGUGACGAGUUCACCUUUUUUUUAAUAAAAAAAGUAUGUUUUUGUAAUCUGACUAAUGUAAGGUGUGACUGCCAUACCUGAUCAGAUAGUAGUAUAUCUUCCUUUAAGUUGCAAUA